This is a long non-coding RNA of Culicoides brevitarsis, 823 nucleotides long. RefSeq lists it as uncharacterized. The transcript is spliced from 2 exons. NCBI's taxonomy places the organism in Eukaryota, Metazoa, Arthropoda, Insecta, Diptera, Ceratopogonidae. The record is from RefSeq and is a predicted model, not a curated record.
AUCACUGCACCUUACCGAUACUGUACUUACCGUCUGUUCUGUAAAAAUUAAUAUUUUACGUGAAUUCUUCGCUCAUAAUUAGUCAUAAUUCGUCAUUGUGAGACUUUUCUGCGUAAAAUUCUCAAAAAUAUCAAAAAUCAUACGAAAAAUCCCCGAAAUCGAAGAAAUUUUUUUAUUCAACGGACUUUGGAGCAUCAACAAUGGACCAAAAAGUGGAAUCUCCGGAAAACAGGGCCCUCUCCGAACCAAAUUCCGAUGACAUGAUCUUCUAUUUGCUCCUGUCGCUACUUGUUCUGGCAAUUGUGGCGAUGAUUAUUGGAUGCAUUUGUUUCUGCAACUGGUGGUGCAAAUAUCGAAGGGGUGGACACAACACUGGAUGGCAAAAUGUUGCUUCUGCUGAAAGAAGAGGCCAAUUCCAGAUGAGCCGCAGCUUCUAAAGGACUUUUUAUGAGUGAAAUUGAACUUUAACCAUCGAGAUCGAUUGAAUUGGACAAAACAACGAAUUACAAAAUUUUAAUUCUUAGAAACGAAAAAAAAGUAUUUACAAAUUUUUUUUAUUAACAGUUUUUUUUACAUUUUAAUGUUGUUGACGUGUUUGAAACUAAUUUUUUAAGUAAUUUGUAACUUUUUUUACUAAAUAAAAAUAAAAAAAAAAAACAAUUUUUUGAUGCAAGUUCAUGGAGGUGGAAUUAUGAUCAAAAUAACGAGUUUGUGUCAACUGAGUGGUAUUUCAAUUUGACUUGUGUAGGAUGGAUUGGACCUUUUUAUUGAAUAGUCGUUUUUGGAAGAUUAUUUUGAUAUAAAACAAUAAUAAACAAAUAAA